CUUGUCUUCCCCUAUAAUAAUCAAUGUAAGCUACUUAAAGACUUACAAAUUGAGAGUAAAACAGAAACAAAAUAAAUACUGUACAUUUUCCCUGCCUGCAGGCUAAAGAUGGGAAAUACUGUCAUGAAUUAGAAAAAAAUGCUCUUAAAGCUUCUGCAUCCCACUCCCCAGCCACACCCCGUCCCACCGUGACAUGUGUGCUUCUGUACUCAAAGGACACACAUGUGCACACACACUGGCAACCUACACAUAGACAAGACACUACCCCGCAGACACCCCCAAUGAGAAGGCAACAAUCAGCCACCUGGGACUGUGGGCAUAAAAACCAGUAAGGAAAGUCAGGCUAGCAAAACAUUACUACAAAACUAGUAAAUACCAUAGCCAACAACUGUCCCCUUUGCAAAUUUCACAGUUAAAACCCCCUAAAACCAAUACUAACCCUCCCAUCCAUCACCACCCUCCAACAUCCCCCAAAAGAAAACUUGCUGAAGCACUGGUAAAGUUAGACAUUUCACAGUAAAGUGAAAAUUCAUAUUAUAUAAUCUCUAACAUGAACCUUUUCACCCUCUUUCCACAGCAUGAAACUGUUAUGGCUUAAUUUAUAUUAAAAGUAGAAAAGUCUUUUCUGAGGGAAAUGCAGCGUGCAAAGAUGCACGUGCAUUUUCUGAUCAGUGCUAUUUCAUACGUUAACAACUUCAUGACUUGCUUUUGCAGUCAGAAGCUGUUUUUGGAAAAACUGAGGUUAUAGCUUUUGAUUCAGUCUAACCAUAAACUGUAAGGCCCUUAGUUUGGUUUAGGUUUCUUUUGCAAGAUAAAAUAACCUUGGGGUUCACUUAGCAAGUUACACCUUAGGUCCCUGACUAUAAUGUGGAAACUGUAUGUAUGCUUUGUAAAAAUAAAAGGUUACUUAUGAAUCUUAGAGGGAAGAAGUGACUCUAGGCAAGGAAUUAACUCCUUAGUAUAUAUUUAUAUUUAAUGCUGGUAAUUUUUACAAACCAAAAUCCAUCAAAG
This is a long non-coding RNA of Heterocephalus glaber (naked mole-rat), 1011 nucleotides long. NCBI's taxonomy places the organism in Eukaryota, Metazoa, Chordata, Mammalia, Rodentia, Bathyergidae. The record is from Ensembl.